This 253-nucleotide ribosomal RNA is filed under the name uncultured bacterium. RNAcentral's name for it is "partial 16S ribosomal RNA". It matches the Rfam family "Bacterial small subunit ribosomal RNA", at positions 524 to 776 of the family's 1533-position model. The record is from RNAcentral.
UACGUAGGGCGCAAGCGUUGUCCGGAAUUAUUGGGCGUAAAGAGCUCGUAGGCGGCCUGUUACGUCUGCUGUGAAAUCCCGGGGCUUAACCCCGGGCGUGCAGUGGAUACGGGCAGGCUGGAGGCAGGCAGGGGAGAACGGAAUUCCCGGUGUAGCGGUGAAAUGCGCAGAUAUCGGGAGGAACACCGGUGGCGAAGGCAGGUCUCUGGGCUGUAACUGACGCUGAGGAGCGAAAGCAUGGGGAGCGAACAGG